UAAGCGGAGGAAAGAAACUAACAAGGAUUCCCCUAGUAACUGCGAGUGAAGCGGGAAAAGCUCAAAUUUAAAAUCUGGUGGUCUUUGGCCAUNCGAGUUGUAAUCUAGAGAAGCGUCUUCCGCGCUGGACCGUGCACAAGUCUCCUGGAACGGAGCGUCGUAGAGGGUGAGAAUCCCGUCUUUGGCAUGGACACACCAGGGCUUUUGUGAUGCGCUCUCGAAGAGUCGAGUUGUUUGGGAAUGCAGCUCAAAAUGGGUGGUGAACUCCAUCUAAAGCUAAAUAUUGGCGAGAGACCGAUAGCGAGCAAGUACCGUGAGGGAAAGAUGAAAAGCACUUUGGAAAGAGAGUGAAACAGUACGUGAAAUUGUUGAAAGGGAAACGCUUGAAGUCAGUCGCGUCGACCGAGACUCAGCCUCGCCUCAGCUUGGCGUACUUCUCGGCCCGACGGGUCAGCAUCAAUUUCGCCUCUUGGAUAAUGGCGAGGGAAACGUGACACCUUUACGGUGUGUUAUAGUCUCUCGUCGCAUGCAAGGGUCGGGAUUGAGGAACUCAGCACGCGCCUUUGGGCGUCGGGGCUUUGCCUACGAUACGUGCUUAGGAUGUUGGCGUAAUGGCUUUAAACGACC
Molecule: ribosomal RNA, 627 nt
Filed under: uncultured Russulaceae
Lineage: Eukaryota; Fungi; Basidiomycota; Agaricomycetes; Russulales; Russulaceae
Description: LSU rRNA
Rfam family: Eukaryotic large subunit ribosomal RNA
Source: RNAcentral